This 497-nucleotide ribosomal RNA is filed under the name uncultured bacterium. RNAcentral's name for it is "partial 16S ribosomal RNA". It matches the Rfam family "Bacterial small subunit ribosomal RNA", at positions 28 to 507 of the family's 1533-position model. The record is from RNAcentral.
GAUGAACGCUGGCGGCGUGCCUAAUACAUGCAAGUCGAGCGAACAGACGAGGAGCUUGCUCCUCUGACGUUAGCGGCGGACGGGUGAGUAACACGUGGAUAACCUACCUAUAAGACUGGGAUAACUUCGGGAAACCGGAGCUAAUACCGGAUAACAUGUUGAACCGCAUGGUUCAACAGUGAAAGACGGUCUUGCUGUCACUUAUAGAUGGAUCCGCGCCGCAUUAGCUAGUUGGUAAGGUAACGGCUUACCAAGGCAACGAUGCGUAGCCGACCUGAGAGGGUGAUCGGCCACACUGGAACUGAGACACGGUCCAGACUCCUACGGGAGGCAGCAGUAGGGAAUAUUCCGCAAUGGGCGAAAGCCUGACGGAGCAACGCCGCGUGAGUGAAGAAGGUCUUCGGAUCGUAAAACUCUGUUAUUAGGGAAGGACAAAUGUGUAAGUAACUAUGCACGUCUUGACGGUACCUAAUCAGAAAGCCACGGCUAACUACGUG